UACGUAGGGCGCAAGCGUUAUCCGGAAUUACUGGGCGUAAAGGGUGCGUAGGCGGUCUUUCAAGCCAGAAGUGAAAGGCUACGGCUCAACCGUAGUAAGCUUUUGGAACUGUAAGACUUGAGUGCAGGAGAGGAGAGUGGAAUUCCUAGUGUAGCGGUGAAAUGCGUAGAUAUUAGGAGGAACACCAGUAGCGAAGGCGGCUCUCUGGACUGUAACUGACGCUGAGGCACGAAAGCGUGGGGAGCAAACAGGAUUAGAUACCCGCGUAGU
RNAcentral lists this ribosomal RNA (270 nucleotides) under uncultured prokaryote. Its description in RNAcentral is "partial 16S ribosomal RNA". It matches the Rfam family "Bacterial small subunit ribosomal RNA", at positions 524 to 794 of the family's 1533-position model. The record is from RNAcentral.